UACGAAGGGGGCUAGCGUUGCUCGGAAUUACUGGGCGUAAAGCGCACGUAGGCGGCUCUCUAAGUCGGGGGUGAAAUCCUGGAGCUCAACUCCAGAACUGCCUUCGAUACUGGAAAGCUCGAGUCCGGGAGAGGUGAGUGGAACUGCGAGUGUAGAGGUGAAAUUCGUAGAUAUUCGCAAGAACACCAGUGGCGAAGGCGGCUCACUGGCCCGGUACUGACGCUGAGGUGCGAAAGCGUGGGGAGCAAACAGG
RNAcentral lists this ribosomal RNA (253 nucleotides) under uncultured bacterium. RNAcentral describes it as "partial 16S ribosomal RNA". It matches the Rfam family "Bacterial small subunit ribosomal RNA", at positions 524 to 776 of the family's 1533-position model. The record is from RNAcentral.